Molecule: ribosomal RNA, 531 nt
Filed under: Bacillus sp. biosXds1
Lineage: Bacteria; Bacillati; Bacillota; Bacilli; Caryophanales; Bacillaceae
Description: bacterial SSU rRNA
Rfam family: Bacterial small subunit ribosomal RNA
Source: RNAcentral
UGCUAAUACAUGCAAGUCGAGCGAACGGACUAGGAGCUUGCUCCCUAUAGGUCAUCGCCGCGACGGGGAGUAACACGUGGGUAACCUGCGUGUAUGACUGUGAUAACUCCGGGAAACCGGGGCUAAUACCGGAUGCUUGAUUGAACCGCAUGUGUCUCUCAUUUAAGGGGGCUUUUCGCUUCCCCUUUCUGAUGGGCCCCCGGCCCAUUAACUAAUUGGGGAAGGAACGGGUCCCCCAAGGGACGAAGGCUAACCGAACUGGAAAGGUGAACGGCCCCCCUGGGAAUGAAACCCGGCCCAAAAUCCCACCGGAAGGAACAAUAAGGAAUCCUCCCCAAUGGACCAAAGUCUGAAGGAACAACCCCCCGGGGAGGAAGAAGGUUUUCGGAUCCAAAAACUCUGGUGGUAGGGAAAAACAAGUACCGAUCGAAUAAGGCGGGACCUUUGCCGUACCCAACCCGAAAGCCCUGAGUAACUAAGUGGCACGGGCCGGGUAAUAUCUACGUGGCAAGCUUUUACCCGAAAUAUUGG